UACGAAGGGGGCUAGCGUUGCUCGGAAUUACUGGGCGUAAAGCGCACGUAGGCGGCUCUUUAAGUCGGAGGUGAAAUCCUGGAGCUCAACUCCAGAACUGCCUUCGAUACUGAAGAGCUCGAGUCCGGGAGAGGUGAGUGGAACUGCGAGUGUAGAGGUGAAAUUCGUAGAUAUUCGCAAGAACACCAGUGGCGAAGGCGGCUCACUGGCCCGGUACUGACGCUGAGGUGCGAAAGCGUGGGGAGCAACAGG
RNAcentral lists this ribosomal RNA (252 nucleotides) under uncultured bacterium. RNAcentral's name for it is "partial 16S ribosomal RNA". It matches the Rfam family "Bacterial small subunit ribosomal RNA", at positions 524 to 775 of the family's 1533-position model. The record is from RNAcentral.